AUUGAACGCUGGCGGCAUGCCUUACACAUGCAAGUCGAACGGCAGCAUGGAGAGCUUGCUCUCUGAUGGCGAGUGGCGAACGGGCGAGUAAUGCAUCGGAACGUACCGUGUAAUGGGGGAUAACGUAGCGAAAGUUACGCUAAUACCGCAUACGACCUGAGGGUGAAAGCAGGGGAUCGCAAGACCUUGCGUUAUACGAGCGGCCGAUGUCAGAUUAGCUAGUUGGUGAGGUAAAGGCUCACCAAGGCGACGAUCUGUAGCGGGUCUGAGAGGAUGAUCCGCCACACUGGAACUGAGACACGGUCCAGACUCCUACGGGAGGCAGCAGUGGGGAAUUUUGGACAAUGGGGGCAACCCUGAUCCAGCCAUGCCGCGUGAGUGAAGAAGGCCUUCGGGUUGUAAAGCUCUUUCGUCCGGGAAGAAAUCGCAUCAGCUAAUACCUGGUGUGGAUGACGGUACCGGAAUAAGAAGCACCGGCUAACUACGUGCCAGCCGCCGCCGUAA
RNAcentral lists this ribosomal RNA (504 nucleotides) under uncultured bacterium. Its description in RNAcentral is "partial 16S ribosomal RNA". It matches the Rfam family "Bacterial small subunit ribosomal RNA", at positions 30 to 523 of the family's 1533-position model. The record is from RNAcentral.